UACGGAGGGUGCAAGCGUUAUCCGGAUUUAUUGGGCGUAAAGGGCGUGUAGGCGGGAUGGUAAGUCAGAUGUGAAAACUAUGGGCUCAACCCAUAGCCUGCAUUUGAAACUAUCGUUCUUGAGUGUUGGAGAGGCAGGCGGAAUUCCGUGUGUAGCGGUGAAAUGCAUAGAUAUCACGCAGAACUCCGAUGGCGAAGGCAGCGUACCGGCGCCCAACUGACGCUGAGGCGCGAAGGCGUGGGUAUCGAACAGG
Molecule: ribosomal RNA, 253 nt
Filed under: uncultured bacterium
Lineage: Bacteria
Description: partial 16S ribosomal RNA
Rfam family: Bacterial small subunit ribosomal RNA
Source: RNAcentral